RNAcentral lists this non-coding RNA (30 nucleotides) under Mus musculus (house mouse). Lineage: Eukaryota; Metazoa; Chordata; Mammalia; Rodentia; Muridae. The record is from RNAcentral.
UGAAGUGCCGAUUCCUUUGUGGUCCUGUCC